This 330-nucleotide ribosomal RNA is filed under the name Champsocephalus gunnari (mackerel icefish). Its description in RNAcentral is "partial 12S ribosomal RNA". It matches the Rfam family "Bacterial small subunit ribosomal RNA", at positions 866 to 1364 of the family's 1533-position model. The record is from RNAcentral. Lineage: Eukaryota; Metazoa; Chordata; Actinopteri; Perciformes; Channichthyidae.
UAUCCGCCCGGGAACUACGAGCACCAGCUUGAAACCCAAAGGACUUGGCGGUGCUUUAGAUCCUACUAGAGGAGCCUGUUCUAGAACCGAUAACCCCCGUUCAACCUCACCUUUCCUUGUUUUUCCCGCCUAUAUACCGCCGUCGUCAGCCCACCCUAUGAAGGACUAAAAGUAGGCUAAAUUGGCACAGCCCAGAACGUCAGGCCGAGGUGUAGCGUAUGGAAGGGGAAGAAAUGGGCUACAUUCCCUAUGUUAGGGUACACGAAUGGUGUGCUGAAACGCACAUCUUGAAGGAGGAUUUAGCAGUAAGCAGGAAGUAGAGCGCUGCUG